This 147-nucleotide small RNA is filed under the name Bacillus sp. (in: firmicutes). RNAcentral's name for it is "Bacillus sp. c-di-AMP sequence". It matches the Rfam family "c-di-AMP riboswitch aptamer (ydaO/yuaA leader)". Rfam says of the family: This family represents a conserved RNA structure found upstream of the ydaO and yuaA genes in Bacillus subtilis and related genes in other bacteria. The ydaO/yuaA element is thought to act as a genetic "off" switch for the ydaO and yuaA genes in its native state. It is believed that the element may be triggered during osmotic shock leading to activation of ydaO, a predicted amino acid transporter gene, and members of the yuaA-yubG operon which code for KtrA and KtrB K+ transporters. Lineage: Bacteria; Bacillati; Bacillota; Bacilli; Caryophanales; Bacillaceae. The record is from RNAcentral. RNAcentral also lists the same sequence under 1 other name.
CAUAUGUGAGCGCUUAAUCCCAUAAAGGGAGCGGGGGAACCAAAACACAGUGCAGUGGCACUUGGGGUGAAUCCUUUUAAUUGAAGGCAGGACAUUUCUCUUCGUCCGAAUCCGACAGCUAACCUCGUAAGCGAGAAGAGACACUUC